AGGUUCGGAGCUUGAUCCUCUUGGAGGCUGAAAUCGCACCUUCUCGGGACAGCACACAUGAGUUUAUGAGGUAAUUGACUGUGAAAUCGUGGUUGGUUUCYGUCUGAGGUGAAAUAUCUGCAAAGUGGUUUUAAGACRAWWUYGUCUUUAGGUUCAASWCAGAAAUCUCGGAARCCAACCACGAUUUCACAGUCAAUUACCUYAUAAACUCACGUACGCUGUCCCGAGAAGUGUGAUUUCAGCCUCCAAGAGGGUCAAGCUGCGGUCCC
RNAcentral lists this microRNA precursor (269 nucleotides) under Malus domestica (apple). RNAcentral describes it as "miR10984b stem-loop (mdm-MIR10984b)". Lineage: Eukaryota; Viridiplantae; Streptophyta; Magnoliopsida; Rosales; Rosaceae. The record is from miRBase by way of RNAcentral.